GACGAACGCUGGCGGCGUGCCUAAUACAUGCAAGUCGAACGCUGAAGGAGGAGCUUGCUCUUCUGGAUGAGUUGCGAACGGGUGAGUAACGCGUAGGUAACCUGCCUGGUAGCGGGGGAUAACUAUUGGAAACGAUAGCUAAUACCGCAUAAGAGUAGAUGUUGCAUGACAUUUGCUUAAAAGGUGCAAUUGCAUCACUACCAGAUGGACCUGCGUUGUAUUAGCUAGUUGGUGGGGUAACGGCUCACCAAGGCGACGAUACAUAGCCGACCUGAGAGGGUGAUCGGCCACACUGGGACUGAGACACGGCCCAGACUCCUACGGGAGGAAGCAGUAGGGAAUCUUCGGCAAUGGACGGAAGUCUGACCGAGCAACGCCGCGGGAGUGAAGAAGGUUUUCGGAUCGUAAAGCUCUGUUGUAAGAGAAGAACGAGUGUGAGAGUGGAAAGUUCACACUGUGACGGUAGCUUACCAGAAAGGGACGGCUAACUACGUG
RNAcentral lists this ribosomal RNA (495 nucleotides) under uncultured bacterium. Its description in RNAcentral is "partial 16S ribosomal RNA". It matches the Rfam family "Bacterial small subunit ribosomal RNA", at positions 28 to 507 of the family's 1533-position model. The record is from RNAcentral.